Regulatory RNA element from Tumebacillus flagellatus, 109 nucleotides. It matches the Rfam family "pan motif". The record is from Rfam. Lineage: Bacteria; Bacillati; Bacillota; Bacilli; Caryophanales; Alicyclobacillaceae.
GAGACGGUAUCCAAAGCUGAACUGUACUCCCGACGUGAUGGAAACUGUACGACCCUUGAAUUCCAACUUUACACAUCUGCUCUGAGCCGAUUCGGACCGAGACAGGGAA